GGUAUUAAUUUUGAAUAUUCAGAUGUUUAUACAUGGUCCCAUCGAUCAAGUCAUUGUCUUGCCAAGAUUUAAUCAAGGAAUUAAUUUUCAAACUUACUUUUUUCUAGGAUCUUUUUCCAGUUUAUCAUAAGUAGAUCGAUCAUUAAGUAACAAAUUCAUUUUACUAAAAUAAUUAUUCGUGUCCAUAAUCACGGUAGCCUGACCUUUAUCAGCCCUUGUGACCAAUAUGUCCAUAUUACACGACAAAAACUUUUAACAUUCUCCAUAACAUUGUUUGGAAGGUUUUUGCAACUGAGGUUUACAAGCCACUUUGACCGAUCAAUUCUUUUUAACGGAUUUGGAGAAAUGUAUUUCAUACUAUUAAACCGUUGAACUUAUUAAUAGACUAGGUUUUCAUUACAUGGUUAAAUGUUACCAAUUUACGCUUAUUAAAACCGAAAAUCUUAACAACAAAUCAUGUGGGACCUGAUCAUACAGUCUUUUUUCGAUAUUAUCUAAUAAUGACCGAAAAUACUUCAAGUUAAUAUUCAAAUCUUUAAUCUUCAAGUUCAACAGUCUAAAUCCAUUCCGUCUCACAAUUAAGCCAUAUUUAUGAUUGAUAACAUUACUAUAAGAAAGAAUGUUUAUUCUUGAGUAAUUUAUGAGGUGGUAAAAUCUCAUAUCUUUUUCACCGAAGUAAGAAAAUUAACUGUUGUUUCAAUGUAAUUAUCCUCUUUUUGUUGCUAGCCAUGCUUUCAAGAGAGACGUGUACUGUUAAAGAUAGUAAGUUAUUGAUCUCACUUGAUGUUAAAUUAUUAUUCACGAAUAUCCUGAAGGAUCUUGUCCUUGAUUCUAUUAAAAAAAGAUGGAGUGAAAUUUCAUGGUUAAAUUGCUGAGUCAUCCAAUUUAUGGAAAAUAUUUCAUGAAAUAUGAUUCGGAUUUUCAUUAUCACUUUAAUGCCGAUGGUUUCUUAAAACGAUUGAUUGAAUGCCAAGGAUUUAAAAUUAAGUACUACCAUUUUAGAGAGGAAGUAAUAUAUCAAUCUGAUUAUAUUUUACCGAAUAGCAUCUUUGAGCUUCCUUUCAUACAUGAACUGACACCUGAACAACAAAACGACCUUAAGAACAUAUUAAAAGAGAAAUGGAAAAAAAUGGAAAAAAUGUUUCAUCGAGCUUCAUAUCGAGUUUCAUAUUCCAAUGACCCAGAAUAUGGCUCAGAAUGUAACGAUUUAUUCGAUAUUGUACAAGCAUUACAUAUAAAUCGUAAUACCUAUUAGAUU
Non-coding RNA from Nylanderia fulva, 1258 nucleotides. The record is from RefSeq and is a predicted model, not a curated record. NCBI's taxonomy places the organism in Eukaryota, Metazoa, Arthropoda, Insecta, Hymenoptera, Formicidae.